This 444-nucleotide ribosomal RNA is filed under the name uncultured bacterium. Its description in RNAcentral is "partial 16S ribosomal RNA". It matches the Rfam family "Bacterial small subunit ribosomal RNA", at positions 355 to 792 of the family's 1533-position model. The record is from RNAcentral.
UAGGGAAUCUUCCACAAUGGACGCAAGUCUGAUGGAGCAACGCCGCGUGAGUGAAGAAGGUUUUCGGACCGUAAAGCUCUGUUGUUGGUGAAGAAGGAUAGAGGUAGUAACUGGCCUUUAUUUGACGGUAAUCAACCAGAAAGUCACGGCUAACUACGUGCCAGCAGCCGCGGUAAUACGUAGGUGGCAAGCGUUGUCCGGAUUUAUUGGGCGUAAAGCGAGCGCAGGCGGAAGAAUAAGUCUGAUGUGAAAGCCCUCGGCUUAACCGAGGAAUUGCACCGGAAACUGUUUUCUUGAGUGCAGAAGAGGAGAGUAAAACUCCAUGUGUAGCGGUGGAAUGCGUAGAUAUAUGGAAGAACACCAGUGGCGAAGGCGGCUGUCUGGUCUGCAACUGACGCUGAGGCUCGAAAGCAUGGGUAGCGAACAGGAUUAGAUACCCUGGUA